RNAcentral lists this unclassified non-coding RNA (200 nucleotides) under Melitaea cinxia (Glanville fritillary). RNAcentral's name for it is "misc RNA ENSMCXG00005000505.1". Lineage: Eukaryota; Metazoa; Arthropoda; Insecta; Lepidoptera; Nymphalidae. The record is from RNAcentral.
AUAAUACUGUUUUCAAGCAGUAUUGUGUUCCUGUUGGUGAGUAAGGUGACCAGAGCUCCUGGGGGGAUUGGGGAUCUGGUCGGCAACGCGCUUGCGAUGCUUCUUGUGUUGCAGGUGUCUAUAAGCUACGGUAAUCGCUUACCAUCAGGUGAGCUGUACGCUUGUUUGCCGACCUAGUGACAUAAAAAAAUGAGACGAGC